Molecule: ribosomal RNA, 492 nt
Filed under: uncultured bacterium
Lineage: Bacteria
Description: partial 16S ribosomal RNA
Rfam family: Bacterial small subunit ribosomal RNA
Source: RNAcentral
AGUGAACGCUGGCGGUAGGCCUAACACAUGCAAGUCGAACGGCAGCACAGUAAGAGCUUGCUCUUACGGGUGGCGAGUGGCGGACGGGCGAGGAAUACAUCGGAAUCUACUUUUUCGUGGGGGAUAACGUAGGGAAACUUACGCUAAUACCGCAUACGACCUACGGGUGAAAGCAGGGGAUCUUCGGACCUUGCGCGAUUGAAUGAGCCGAUGUCGGAUUAGCUAGUUGGCGGGGUAAAGGCCCACCAAGGCGACGACCCGUAGCUGGUCUGAGAGGAUGAUCAGCCACACUGGAACUGAGACACGGUCCAGACUCCUACGGGAGGCAGCAGUGGGGAAUAUUGGACAAUGGGCGCAAGCCUGAUCCAGCCAUACCGCGUGGGUGAAGAAGGCCUUCGGGUUGUAAAGCCCUUUUGUUGGGAAAGAAAAGCAGCAGGUUAAUACCCCGCUGUUCUGACGGUACCCAAAGAAUAAGCACCGGCUAACUUCGUG